Molecule: ribosomal RNA, 247 nt
Filed under: uncultured bacterium
Lineage: Bacteria
Description: partial 16S ribosomal RNA
Rfam family: Bacterial small subunit ribosomal RNA
Source: RNAcentral
AUACGAAGGGGGCUAGCGUUGUUCGGAAUUACUGGGCGUAAAGCGCAUGUAGGCGGACAUUUAAGUCAGGUGUGAAAGCCCACGGCUCAACCGUGGAAUUGCACUUGAUACUGCAUUGCUUGAGUUCGGGAGAGGGUAGUGGAAUUCCAGGUGUAGGAGUGAAAUCCGUAGAGAUCUGGAGGAACACCAGUGGCGAAGGCGACUACCUGGACCGAUACUGACACUGAGGAGCGAAAGCGUGGGGAGC